Molecule: long non-coding RNA, 964 nt
Filed under: Homo sapiens (human)
Lineage: Eukaryota; Metazoa; Chordata; Mammalia; Primates; Hominidae
Description: long non-coding RNA NONHSAT179915.1
Source: RNAcentral
AAAUGGGCCAAGGGCCCCGGGCUUGGAAGGGCAGGUGGCGCCUAGACCCAGCGUUCCCGCUCCACAGGUCUCCAGGAGUUCGCCCGGCGUUUCCUCUGCAGCGGGUGCUACUCUAGGGUCUGCGACCUCCCGCUGGACUGCCCAGUUCAGGAUGUGACAGUGACUCGGGGCGACCAGGCUAUGUUUUCUUGCAUCGUAAACUUCCAGCUGCCAAAGGAGGAGAUCACCUAUUCCUGGAAGUUCGCAGGAGGAGCUCCGGACUCAGGACUUGUCCUAUUUCCGAGAUAUGCCGCGGGCCGAAGGAUACCUGGCGCGGAUCCGGCCGGCUCAGCUCACGCACCGCGGGACGUUCUCCUGCGUGAUCAAGCAAGACCAGCGCCCCCUGGCCCGGCUCUACUUCUUUCUUAACGGUGGGGCGGGGCGCGGCCGCGUGAGUGAGCGGGGUCGGGAGAGGGGUGGGGCUCGUGCCUGGCUGACGUGCGCGCCCCCGCAGUGACGGGCCCGCCCCCGCGGGCGGAGACAGAGUUGCAGGCCUCGUUCCGGGAAGUGCUGCGCUGGGCGCCGCGGGAUGCCGAGCUGAUCGAGCCCUGGAGGCCCAGCCUGGGCGAGCUGCUGGCCAGGCCCGAGGCUCUGACGCCCAGCAAUCUGUUCCUGCUUGCAGUCCUCGGGGCCCUCGCAUCAGCGAGUGCGACAGUGUUGGCGUGGAUGUUCUUUCGAUGGUACUGCAGUGGCAACUAACAAAGGUAUCUUUCCUCCUUCCCUAUCCUAUUUCCAUCCUGAAAAUAAAGAAUAUAUUUCAACUCUAGAUUGUUUCAUCUCCGAAGGUGGUCACUACUAACUCAGGUAGGAGGAGGUGCAGCAAGCCCACACAUGCCCAGAUGAAUAUGGCCCGCAUAAUGACAGUGAUAGGCAUAGCUAUCCCAGUGCAAGUUAGGUGGGAACCCAGAUACCCCCUCAGGUUACU